This 701-nucleotide ribosomal RNA is filed under the name uncultured fungus. RNAcentral describes it as "eukaryotic LSU rRNA". It matches the Rfam family "Eukaryotic large subunit ribosomal RNA", at positions 24 to 664 of the family's 3401-position model. The record is from RNAcentral. Lineage: Eukaryota; Fungi.
CCCGCUGAACUUAAGCAUAUCAAUAAGCGGAGGAAAAGAAACCAACAGGGAUUCCCCUAGUAACGGCGAGUGAAGCGGGAAAAGCUCAAUUUUAAAAUCUCACAGGUUUCCUGUGCGAAUUGUAGUUUAUAGAAAUGUUUUCUUGGGAUAGUUUGGAUCAAAGUCCGUUGGAAUACGGCGCCAUAGAGGGUGAGAGCCCCGUCUGAUCUGAGCAGGUUCCUAUAUGAUACAUUUUCAAAGAGUCGGAUAGUUUGGGAAUGCUGUCCAAAAUGGGUGGUAAAUACCAUCUAAAGCUAAAUACUGGCGAGAGACCGAUAGCGAACAAGUACCGUGAGGGAAAGAUGAAAAGAACUUUGAAAAGAGAGUUAAAUAGUACGUGAAAUUGUCAAAAGGGAAACGCUUGACACCAGUAUUGGAUAUUGCAAAUCAGCCUUACGGUGCACUUUGCAAUGUCCGGGUCAGCAUCAGUUUGGUUCAAAGUAAAAUGCGGUAGUAAGGUAUCCCCUCGGGGUGUUAUAGACUGCCGUUAUGCUUUGAGCUGGACUGAGGACUGCAGCUCUGCAUUGGGGAAUUUGCAGCUCUGAAAGAGCAGUUUGCAAACAACUUGUUGAUUGCAACCUGUUUCCGAUGAACCUGUAGAGUAUCACUCUGAGCUUAGGAUGCUGACGAAAUGGUUUUAAGCGACCCGUCUUGAAACACGG